GGAUUGUAACUCAGUUGGUAGAGCGCUUGAUGAAUUAAUUAAUCAAGAGGUCGCAGGUUCGAGACCUGUCAUCUA
This 75-nucleotide transfer RNA is filed under the name Pediococcus pentosaceus. Its description in RNAcentral is "tRNA-OTHER". The stretch from base 5 to 71 matches the Rfam family "tRNA", at positions 6 to 65 of the family's 71-position model. Rfam says of the family: Transfer RNA (tRNA) molecules are approximately 80 nucleotides in length. Lineage: Bacteria; Bacillati; Bacillota; Bacilli; Lactobacillales; Lactobacillaceae. The record is from RNAcentral.